Molecule: ribosomal RNA, 482 nt
Filed under: uncultured bacterium
Lineage: Bacteria
Description: bacterial SSU rRNA
Rfam family: Bacterial small subunit ribosomal RNA
Source: RNAcentral
AGAGUUUGAUCAUGGCUCAGAACGAACGCUGGCGGCAUGCCUAACACAUGCAAGUCGAACGGGAUCCGGACUUCGGUUCGGUGAGAGUGGCGGACGGGUGAGUAACACGUGGGAACCUGCCUUUUGGUUCGGGAUAACCGCGGGAAACUGCGGCUAAUACCGAAUGCUCCCGAGAGGGAAAAGAUUUAUCGCCAGAAGAGGGGCCCGCGUCCGAUUAGGUAGUUGGUGGGGUAAUGGCCUACCAAGCCGACGAUCGGUAGCUGGUCUGAGAGGAUGAUCAGCCACACUGGGACUGAGAUACGGCCCAGACUCCUACGGGAGGCAGCAGUGGGGAAUAUUGGACAAUGGGGGCAACCCUGAUCCAGCAAUGCCGCGUGAGUGAUGAAGGCCUUAGGGUUGUAAAGCUCUUUUGCCAGGGAAGAUGAUGACUGUACCUGGAGAAUAAGCCCCGGCUAACUUCGUGCCAGCAGCCGCGGUAAUAC